AGAUUUAUUAAACGCAAACCUUUUAUCUUUGAGAAAUUUAUAGUAAUGCCACUAGUUCCAAGGAAAACUAACUCUGGCUAUUGCUUUUGGGUAAUUAUUAGUAUGGCACUCUUCCGUUAAAUCUGUGUACAUUUUUUGGCACCGUCACUUUUUACCUGUUACCAUCGUCAGCACUCAGCACACAUUUUUUCCCCACGUCUCAGUUAUAGAACAAAACUACCAUGCCCCUGUUUUCCUCCUUUCAUCUCUCCAUUAUGUUCUCCUCUCCCCUAAUUAGCCAUGGCCAAGCAGCAUGCACCCUGCCCCAAGACCACUCCCAUGCACUCUCUGACUUGCCUCCUCCUCCUGCAUCAUGCUGCUUCCCUAGCCCUAGUGCAUGCUUGAUCUCAGUGCCAGCGAGAGCGUCACCAUGGCUCUUCUUCAUGUAAAGGGAAGCUGUUGCGUUUGGAAAAGAUAGUCUUAUUCAUCUUCGGCCUCAGAUCCGCAGUGCUCUCUUCCGUGGUCUCAGUGAACCAGAGCUCAAGAUCUUAUUAUUGCAGGCCAGGAUCAGAUGCCUCUGUUUUAGCUCUAAUUAUAGUAUAUAUAACAUGGCGCUUAAAUCAUGUGAUUUAUUCACUGUGUUUGUGAUUUGGCGAUUUAUUUGCAAUCAUGCUUCAUUACCGAUUGUUCAUAUAUAGAAAGCUUUCCCCAAUAAGUAAUGCGUGGAGGCCACUCUGGAGGAGACCGCCAAUAAGUAAGCUCAAGACCCCCGAGGACCCAUUUUGGCCAUCUCAAGCAUGCCUCAGUUGUUUGCUGGCUUUGCCUCCAGCGCCAUGGUCCUCAUGUGUGCUGUCCUCUUCCUUAUUGCGCACUCAUAGAAUUCCUAACGAGAGGUGAGGGGCACGUAAGAGCUCGAGAGAAUUGAGCGGAAGAAGAUGAAGCUGCAACAUAGGAACAUGGCAUCCGUGUGUGGGAGGGUGAGGUAAAGAAGAUCCGGACAUGUGGAGCAAGGGCUAAUUUGGUCAUUUCUCAGUGGACUAUUUUAGGCAGGGAUGACAAUAGCUGAAAAGUGACGGCAAUUGAAAAAA
This is a long non-coding RNA of Brachypodium distachyon (stiff brome), 1067 nucleotides long. RefSeq lists it as uncharacterized. The record is from RefSeq and is a predicted model, not a curated record. NCBI's taxonomy places the organism in Eukaryota, Viridiplantae, Streptophyta, Magnoliopsida, Poales, Poaceae. The transcript is spliced from 2 exons.